AAAAAAGAAGGAAAAAUUGGUCUAGCCCAUUAGUCAAAUAAACAAGGCAUACACCACAAACUCGGACAUGGGGUUAGACCCGUAUCUAUUUUUGGCUGGAUAAAUCCUGUCCGACAUAUUUUAAACGUUGGGCCUCUUGUCCGGCUUCAGCUUUAAAAAACGACAACGUGCAUUCGUGACCCAACUGCCAGCGGAUUUACUACCCCAAAUAAACGACGUCGAUGCUGAAAGCAACACAGUCAUUAUUAGCGUCGUCUAGAUAGCUCUCUCUUCUUCCUCGCGCCGAGUCUGCCUUGAGCCUCUUUGGCUGUGUAUCCAGACAUGGGGAAGAAGACGAAAAAGCCAGGAAAAGGCAAAGAGAAAGCAGCGAAAUCUGAGGAAAAGAGAGCUCACAGAGAGACUAGAAGCUCUCACCUGAGGAUGACAUCGAUGCCAUUUUGAGAGAUGAGAACGGGAACUCAAGAUCUUAGGCGCUUAUCGCUGAAACAAGACAUGUUCGGCGAGGGUUCUCCGAUGUGCCAUUUUCUUCACUGUCCUCCUAAUAGCUAAUACUGAUAGAUACAACUUACAAGAGUUGAAUUGUCUCAUAUAGGAAAGGAAAGCCUUGGAUGUUCCACUCAACGACCAGAUGCAAAUGUCACCUAACCUAAUUAAGGAGAGAAGUAAUAUUAUAUUAACUAGGUUCGUGAGAUGAGAUGCUAACUAACUUAAUACUUAUGCAUCCUUCCGAACCAAAAGAAUAGUAUCAUUUGACACUAGAUCAUAAGCAACCUAAUCAUGAAUUUUGAAUAUCAAUGUUAUUGGAUCAUUUUGAUUUGCGUC
Long non-coding RNA from Prunus persica (peach), 822 nucleotides. RefSeq lists it as uncharacterized. The transcript has 2 exons. The record is from RefSeq and is a predicted model, not a curated record. Lineage: Eukaryota; Viridiplantae; Streptophyta; Magnoliopsida; Rosales; Rosaceae.